AGAAUGGUUAGAAAUCUGUCGCAGAGUGUAAGGGCACAAGCGAGCUUUACUGCGAGACAGACAGGUCGAGCAGGGACGAAAGUCGGGCUUAGUGAUCCGGUGGUUCCGCAUGGAAGGGCCAUCGCUCAACGGAUAAAAGCUACCCUGGGGAUAACAGGCUUAUCUCCCCCAAGAGUCCACAUCGACGGGGAGGUUUGGCACCUCGAUGUCGGCUCAUCGCAUCCUGGGGCUGUAGUCGGUCCCAAGGGUUGGGCUGUUCGCCCAUUAAAGCGGUACGCGAGCUGGGUUCAGAACGUCGUGAGACAGUUCGGUCCCUAUCCGUCGCGGGCGUAGGAAAUUUGAGAGGACCUGUCCUUAGUACGAGAGGACCGGGAUGGACAUACCGCUGGUGUACCAGUUGUUCCGCCAGGAGCAUCGCUGGGUAGCUAUGUAUGGAUGAGAUAAACGCUGAAAGCAUCUAAGUGUGAAACUCGCCUCAAGAUGAGAUUUCCCAUUCCUUUGGAAGUAAGACCCCACAGAGAUGAUGUGGUAGAUAGGAUGGAAGUGGAAGUGCGGUGACGCAUGGAGCGGACCAUUACUAAUCGGUCGAGGACUUAACCAAG
This 602-nucleotide ribosomal RNA is filed under the name Limosilactobacillus fermentum. Its description in RNAcentral is "bacterial LSU rRNA". It matches the Rfam family "Bacterial large subunit ribosomal RNA", at positions 2324 to 2925 of the family's 2925-position model. The record is from RNAcentral. Lineage: Bacteria; Bacillati; Bacillota; Bacilli; Lactobacillales; Lactobacillaceae.